GACGAACCGUGCGAACGUUGUUCGGAAUCACUGGGCUUAAAGGGCGCGUAGGCGGCUUGCAAAGUCAGGGGUGAAAUCUUUCGGCUCAACCGGAAAAGUGCCUUUGAUACUGGCAGGCUCGAGGGAGGUAGGGGUAUGUGGAACUUCCGGUGGAGCGGUGAAAUGCGUUGAUAUCGGAAGGAACGCCGGUGGCGAAAGCGACGUACUGGACCUCUUCUGACGCUGAGGCGCGAAAGCUAGGGGAGCAAACGGG
This 253-nucleotide ribosomal RNA is filed under the name uncultured bacterium. Its description in RNAcentral is "partial 16S ribosomal RNA". It matches the Rfam family "Bacterial small subunit ribosomal RNA", at positions 524 to 776 of the family's 1533-position model. The record is from RNAcentral.